Homo sapiens (human) is the source of this 4343-nucleotide long non-coding RNA. RefSeq lists it as uncharacterized. NCBI's taxonomy places the organism in Eukaryota, Metazoa, Chordata, Mammalia, Primates, Hominidae. The transcript has 3 exons. The record is from RefSeq and is a predicted model, not a curated record.
GCCAAUCAGCCCUCCUUGGGAAGCCGCCGUCCUUGCCCGCUCUGCUCCUGGGGUCCCACCCAAGCUUCAAUCCUCGCUGUGUGGUCUUCCCUCCGUGAGCCUUCAUUUCCUCAUCGGUAAAAUGGGGGAGAGGAGAGCGCGGGGGUCAGCCCUGAGCCUGGCUGGUUGGCUACUUAAUGGGCUUCUGGUACCUUGACCACCAUCUUUGACAGCCUCAGUUUACAGAUGAGGCCCUGAGGCCUGGAGGAAAGGAUUAGGCUGCCUGGGAUGUGGGUGAGAGGUCUGAUUCUGACCCGGUGAAGUGAGCUCCUGUCCCCUCUGGGGUUCCCCAGCAGGCAUUAAGGGAGGGGUCAGACGAGGUCCCCCUACCGUGGCCAGAUGUGCAGCGACCUUGGGCUGUAACCUCAGGGGGUUCGCGCCCCCCACAGCCUGCUGGGGACUGACCAGGCCUGGGGGAGACUGGGGGAGCGAGGGGCUGGGAGGGAAUACCACCUGGCCGGACGAGGCCCACACCGCCCUGCCAGCCUGGCAUCUCUGCUCUCCCAGGCUCAGCCAACACCCGCUCUAGGACUCAGCCAACUAUUUGUGGGCUGCUAAGUAGCAUGACAGCUGCUUUUCUUGCUAAAGUAUGACAUUACAUUUUUCCGGAUGGCCGGGCACUUCCUGGCCUGAAGUGUGCUAAGUGACAGCCUCACUCUGUCCCGCUGCCCCCCGAGUCCCUGCCCGCCUCCCUGCUUUGUCCAGGCUGGCUUGCAGGGCCAGGCCGAGACCCGUCCUGGCCUGUGUUCAGACAGAGCCUAGUACGGGCCCCCAGGGCUGCAGGUGGCCCAGGAAACUUCCCCGGGGUUAUUUUUGGCCUCUGUGCUGGCCCAUGGACUCCCUGCCAAAAGCAAUUACUGAAUUUUCAUCUUGUUUUGCUGAUGGUUUAGACUAUGUCAAAAAUGUUCCACUGGAAGGCCUGAGGGCACCUCGGGCUGGGGGAUGUGGGGCUCGGGAGCCCAGCUGUGGCCGGGUCCCCGGAAUAGAUCUCUGGGGUUGCUGGCGAGAAGAAGGAGGACAGGGGAGCCGGGGCCUGUUUGUUUGUAGCUGCCACUGGGUGCUUCCCACACGCACAGCGUGCUCGGCUGGUGGUCAUGCUCCCUGCGCCCUCUGCCAGCUGUGCGUGUCCUUCUCUCCCACUUUACAGAAGAAGAAACAGGUUCAGGGAAAGGGCCGAGGGCAUGCCCAGGCUGCACUCUGUUCUGUGGGCUGCCGCACUUCCAGCGCAGAAGGAUUUCCCUGGCUCAGGGGUGGCAGGGACUGGGGGCUGGGGAGGCCACGGGGAACAAGGCAGGGUCUGCCCAGGCCCUCUUCUCACUGCCCGGGGCGAGGGGUGUCCGAACCAAUCAGAUCUUUCCUAAGUUAAAUGUCUGUGUUGCGGGCUUCGGCUACUCUGUUCAUCCUCCUGGGAAUUGCCCAAAUGGCAGCCAGGUGGAUGCAGGAGAAGGUUGGAGGGAAGGCUGGAAAUCAGAGGGGGCCGCCCUCAGGCUUCUGUCCAUCUGCAGGGGCCCCACUGGCAAGCAGCACCUCUCCAGAACUCUGUGUCCCUUCCUCUCCCCUCCGCAGCAGCCCUGGGAGGCAGAUGCUGCCAUGAAACCACGGUGCCCUCAAGAAACCUGGCCAUGAGGGGGCUUCCUGCCUGCCCACGGCCCUGCAGGUCAUGGUAAGGGGUGGUCCUGGAGUUUGUGCCCUGGCACUUCCAUUCCAGAGUCACUGCCAGGACCUUAAGCCUGGAGCUCCCCAGGCUGCAUGGCAGUGGCUUGCUAUGCAGGCCAUGGCUGGGGUGAAGGGUGCCUGGGGCGAGGGGACAUGUCACUUGGGGCCCUGGGUUGCCUGGCCUGCUGGGGGCCCCCUUGUUGCUCAGCUGCUGUCCUGGGGUCACGGCUCUCGGCCACUCUGCUCACUUGCAGUUCCUGGGAGCCUGUGGACAUCGUGUUCUCGAGCCUGAAGGACCAGCAGGGCCCUGGGUGAACGGGGCGGUCCAGGGCCAGGGCCUGUGCUCACACUCCUGCGUGCAUUCCCACGCUUCAGCAAAGCAAUGCCGCCUCCUAUCUGACAGGCUCAGGGUGGCCCUUCGUGGGUAUUGUCACCACAUUCGCUUGUGCAUCAGACGCUUUUUGAGGAAGCUCAGGCCCAGCUUCAUACCAGGCACUGGGAUGGGGGUCAGCCCUGCCUUGAGGGCUGACCAGUUCCAGAGGGGAGACACACUGAAAACCAUCACACCCUCGGCAGGCUGGGGCAGGGCAGAGGGGCACAGGCACCAAGACACAGGAGAGCCAGGUCAGGGCAGAGGGGCACAGGUCCCCGGACACAGGAGAGCCGGGGCAGGGCAGAGGGGCACAGGACUCGGGACAUAGGAGAGCCGGGGCAGGGCAGAGGGGCACAGGCCCCCAGACACAGGAGAGCCGGGGCAGGUCAGAGGGGCACAGGACCCGGGACAUGGGAGAGCGGGGACAGGCUGCUUCCUGGAGGAGGUGAUGCCUGAGCUCAGUGAAAAAACACAUGUGUGGGGCCAGCCAGGGGAUCGGGUUAUGCAGGGCGAGGCUGCCCCAGGUACUUGGGAGGGAGGUGGCCCUGGGUGGGUGUUGGGGCCGUUGGCGGCAGGUGCAUCUGCCCUGGUGUCUGCCAAGGCAGAGCCCAGACUGGACGGCUCAGCGCUGGCCUGGGUGUGGGCGACGCUUGCAGGGGCCGUGUGGGUGUCUGCGUGUGAGUGCCCAUUGUGAGUCUCGUGUACCUGUGUUCACAUGGCUAGGGUCCGGCUUCCAGCUGGUCCUGUCGCCCUGGGAUGCCACACGUAUUGUAAUUACAUCUGGGAUUUCAGGGGGAGGAGGAGAUGGGGUGCCUGCAUGCCUCCUAAAAUGUUUGAAGGCCUUAUAUUGGAAGAAUGGGAAUGUCUGCCUGAGGGGCUUGCCCAUAUCGACAGAGAAGCCCGCCUCCUCCUGCAGAUAAGGAGUGGGGUUUGCUUCUUGCGCAUGGAGGAUGGGUACAGGGCUCUGCUGUCCUGAAACGGACAGGCCUGCCAGCUCAGUUGAUAGAGAGGGGGCUGGAAAGCUUGCCCGGGUGUCCCGCCCCCAUGGCUGGGACACGAACUGGCCUUGAACCCACCCAGCCCCGGCCUCCCCUGCGUCCCCCAGGCUGGCGGCCUCACUCUGUGGCUGUGGGGCCUUUUCCCUUCCAGCUCCUGGCCCUGUUUUCCUGGGUCUUGUAUGGGCGGGGGCCUUAUGAAUGUACCAUCCAAGUAGAAAAGAUGGGCUCACCACAUGAACGCAGCUUCCAGACACCUCCAGCUGUGUCUCCCCAGGACCCUUCCAUGGAGGUCUGACAGCCCUGGCCCAGGCAGAACACGGCCUCAGCGUGCUCCUGUGGACCCUGGUGGGAGCCCCAGGAGCCGCGGUGAUGGGGUGAGUCGGGCCAACUUCUUGGCUGUUGCCUGUGGCCCAUCAACGCCUGCGGGUGGACGCCCUUCAGGGCCAGAGCAGGCGCCUCAGCGUGCAGACACUGUCUGGCUCUCUUUCUGCGUUUUCUUCAUCUGGAUUCUGUUGGGACAACAAUCAAGGCUGUCUCGUUCUGUCUGUGGAAUGGGCCUCACCUAGCAAGAAGCCCCAGGGGCCCCCAGGGCUGGGUUACCGGCAGAGAGAAGCCACUGCGACCUUUGCCCUCCCUAAAUCCAGAGGUAUUUGGCCCAGAAGCUCCUCCCUGAGUCCUUGCUGGAGCAUUUGUCUUCAAACGGAGGAGGAGAACCAAUGGAGUCUCAUUCUGCGGCUCACUGCAACCUCCACCUCCCGGAUUCAAGCGAUUCUCCUGCCUCAGCCUCCCAAGUAGCUGAGAUUACAGGCAUGCGCCACCAUGCCUGGCAAAUUUUUGUGUUUUUAGUAGAGACGGGGUUUCACCAUGUUGGCCAGGAUGGUCUCAAUCUCUUGACCUCGUGAUCCGCCCGCUUUGGCCUCCCAAAGUGCUGGGAUUACAGGUGUGAGCCACUGUACCCGGCCUCAGGUAGUAUCUUUAUAGCAGUGUGAGAAUGGGUUAAUACAAUGUGCAGGGCCUUAAGCUGUGGCUGACUGGUAGAAGCAGCUCAAUAAAUGGUGGAUGGAUGGAUGGAUGGAUGGAUGGAUGGAUGGAUUCACUAAUUACUGACUCACUUGUUGGGUGUGGUAGAGCAUCAGAUCACAGACCUUAGAGCCUGGCUUCCAAGGUUUGAAUCUGUGAUAUACUGACUCCAUAAUAUUAAGUGAUUUAUGUAAUGUUCCCAUGCCUCAGUUUCCUCAUCUGUAAAAUAAAGUCCAAAGAUUUCUGUUCUUUUUCAA